UAAUGCCGGAUGCUCCAGUUGAUCGCAUGGUCUUCUGGGAAAGCUUUCGCGGUAUGGGAUGGGGUCGCGUCCUAUCAGCUUGACGGCGGGGUAACGGCCCACCGUGGCUUCGACGGGUAGCCGGCCUGAGAGGGCGACCGGCCACAUUGGGACUGAGAUACGGCCCAGACUCCUACGGGAGGCAGCAGUGGGGAAUAUUGCACAAUGGGCGCAAGCCUGAUGCAGCGACGCCGCGUGAGGGAUGGAGGCCUUCGGGUUGUAAACCUCUUUUAUCGGGGAGCAAGCGAGAGUGAGUUUACCCGUUGAAUAAGCACCGGCUAACUACGUGCCAGCAGCCGCGGUAAUACGUAGGGUGCAAGCGUUAUCCGGAAUUAUUGGGCGUAAAGGGCUCGUAGGCGGUUCGUCGCGUCCGGUGUGAAAGUCCAUCGCUUAACGGUGGAUCCGCGCCGGGUACGGGCGGGCUUGAGUGCGGUAGGGGAGACUGGAAUUCCCGGUGUAACGGUGGAAUG
Molecule: ribosomal RNA, 509 nt
Filed under: uncultured Bifidobacterium sp.
Lineage: Bacteria; Bacillati; Actinomycetota; Actinomycetes; Bifidobacteriales; Bifidobacteriaceae
Description: bacterial SSU rRNA
Rfam family: Bacterial small subunit ribosomal RNA
Source: RNAcentral